RNAcentral lists this ribosomal RNA (506 nucleotides) under uncultured bacterium. RNAcentral describes it as "partial 16S ribosomal RNA". It matches the Rfam family "Bacterial small subunit ribosomal RNA", at positions 28 to 523 of the family's 1533-position model. The record is from RNAcentral.
GAUGAACGCUAGCUACAGGCUUAACACAUGCAAGUCGAGGGGUAACGAGAGGGAAGCUUGCUUUCCUUGUCGACGACCGGCGCACGGGUGAGUAACGCGUAUCCAACCUGCCCCCAACUAGGGAAUAACCUUGCGAAAGUAAGACUAAUACCCUAUAAUUUCCUCAGAUGUCAUCUGACGAGGAAUAAAGAUUUAUCGGUUGUGGAUGGGGAUGCGUCUGAUUAGCUUGUUGGCGGGGUAACGGCCCACCAAGGCAACGAUCAGUAGGGGUUCUGAGAGGAAGGUCCCCCACAUUUGAACUGAGACACGGUCCAAACUCCUACGGGAGGCAGCAGUGAGGAAUAGUGGUCAAUGGGCGGAAGCCUGAACCAGCCAAGUAGCGUGCAGGAUGACGGCCCUAUGGGUUGUAAACUGCUUUUAUACAGGAAUAAAGUUAGCCACGUGUGGUUAUUUGUAGGUACUGUAUGAAUAAGGACCGGCUAAUUCCGUGCCAGCCGCCGCGGUAA